UGGGGAAUAUUGCACAAUGGGCGAAAGCCUGAUGCAGCAACGCCGCGUGAAGGAUGAAGUAUUUCGGUAUGUAAACUUCUAUCAGCAGGGAAGAUAACGACGGUACCUGACUAAGAAGCCCCGGCUAACUACGUGCCAGCAGCCGCGGUAAUACGUAGGGGGCAAGCGUUAUCCGGAUUUACUGGGUGUAAAGGGAGCGCAGGCGGCAGCGCAAGUCAGAAGUGAAAGCCCGGGGCUUAACUCCGGGACUGCUUUUGAAACUGUGCGGCUAGAUUUCAGGAGAGGUAAGCGGAAUUCCUAGUGUAGCGGUGAAAUGCGUAGAUAUUAGGAGGAACACCAGUGGCGAAGGCGGCUUACUGGACUGAUAAUGACGCUGAGGCUCGAAAGCGUGGGGAGCAAA
RNAcentral lists this ribosomal RNA (400 nucleotides) under uncultured bacterium. RNAcentral's name for it is "bacterial SSU rRNA". It matches the Rfam family "Bacterial small subunit ribosomal RNA", at positions 355 to 772 of the family's 1533-position model. The record is from RNAcentral.